CUGGAGGAGAGGGAAAUAACUGGGAGGAGAGGAAAAGGAACCUGGAGGAAAGUGAAAGGAACCUGGAGGAGAGGGAAGCUGGAGAAGGGGGAAAGGAGCCUGGAGGAGAGGAAAAGGAGCCUGGAGGAGAGGAAAAGGAGCCUGGAGGAGAGGGAAGCUGGAGAAGGGGGAAAGGAGCCUGGAGGAGAGGAAAAGGAGCCUGGAGGAAAGGAAAAGGAGCCUGGAGGAGAGGAAAAGGAGCCUGGAGGAGAGGGCAAGGAACUGGCAGGACUGGGAUGCUGCCAGUGAGUGGAGGGAUUGCUCCCAUGCUGAGCAGGGAGGAAAUUGGGGAUGUGGGCGGAUCAGGAGGAGCUGGACCACCUCAGCACAUCCUGCCUGUGGCAGGGGGUGAGUUAAGGAUGCUGGAAUGUCACAGCAGGCUGGGAAUUUGGGGUUAGUUCCAGCAGCUGGCACCAGGUGAAGUUUGGAUCCUGCUCCGUCCGUUUUCCCUGUGGUGCCUCAGGAAUGGGGGGUGUGGGAAUGGGGCUGUGCUCCUGGAUCCAGUGCUCCUCUUUUCAAACCUCUGGAUUUGAAAGGAGCCUGGGCUCUCCUUGUCUUUUCCCUCCUCCCUGGGACAUCCCUCCUGGAACAUCCCACAGGGAUAUCCCAUUGCUCGUGGUGGGCAUUCCUUGGAUCGGUGCAGCCUCCCCAAAAUCCUUGUGGGAGUUCCAGGACCCACCUUUUGGAGCCUUUAUCCAUGGGAAAGCCAAAUAGGGGAGCAGCCCCAGGAUGAGGUUUCAGCCUCUGUGGUGGCUGGAACUUCCCAUGGGAUGUUGAUCCCUGUCGCUGCCGUUCCCACCUCCGUGGCUGCAUCAUCCCUUGGGAACGAUGUUCUCCAGGUCUUUUGGGAUUGCUCCAGCCCUUCCCUGGGCCCUACAGACACAGCUCUCCCCUCCUGGUGGCUGCUCCCUGCUUUUCCCCCCCUUCCCAGCAUCCCGAGGGAAACAUUCCUUGCCAGGGCUCCGAAGGAAGAGCUAAAAAUCCCUCUGGGAUCAGGGGCUGACAAGAAGUUUCUAUUUAUUUCCAUUCUCUGGGAGAGGGUUGGAAUGGUUCUGGAUCCGGAGCUGAGGGGAGGUUGGAAUGGUUCUGGAUCCAGAGCUGAGGGGAGGUUGGAAUGGUUCUGGAUCCAGAGCUGAGGGGAGGUUGGAAUGGUUCUGGAUCCAGAGCUGAGGGGAGGUUGGAAUGGUUCUGGAUCCAGAGCUGAGGGGAGGUUGGAAUGGUUCUGGAUCUGGAGCUGAGGGGAGGUUGGAAUGGUUCUGGAUCCGGAGCUGAGGGGGGGUUGGAAUGGUUCUGGAUCCAGA
Molecule: long non-coding RNA, 1340 nt
Organism: Myiozetetes cayanensis
Lineage: Eukaryota; Metazoa; Chordata; Aves; Passeriformes; Tyrannidae
Exons: 3
Source: RefSeq, a predicted model, not a curated record